This is a non-coding RNA of Podarcis lilfordi (Lilford's wall lizard), 70 nucleotides long. NCBI's taxonomy places the organism in Eukaryota, Metazoa, Chordata, Lepidosauria, Squamata, Lacertidae. The record is from the annotation of a GenBank genome assembly.
GGAUAGCUCAGUUGGUUAGAACAUGGUGGUGAAAAUACCAAGGUUGCAGGUUCAAUCCCUGUAAGGGACA